Molecule: non-coding RNA, 291 nt
Organism: Pelobates cultripes (western spadefoot toad)
Lineage: Eukaryota; Metazoa; Chordata; Amphibia; Anura; Pelobatidae
Source: the annotation of a GenBank genome assembly
AAACACAAACAGCACCCUCACACACAACACCCUAACAAACACACACACAGCACACUACCAGUACCCUCACACACAAACAGCACCCUCACAAGCGCACACACAAACAAACAGCACCCUCACACACACUACAUUAACAGCACCCUCACAAGCGCACACACACACACAAACACCCUCACCCACAUAGCACACUACCUGCACCCUCACACACAUCACACUAACAGCACCCUCACACAGCACACACACACACACACAACAUAGCAGUGUAUGUCUGUGUGUAUAUAUGUAUGUGUG